This 225-nucleotide ribosomal RNA is filed under the name uncultured Thorsellia sp. RNAcentral describes it as "partial 16S ribosomal RNA". It matches the Rfam family "Bacterial small subunit ribosomal RNA", at positions 567 to 792 of the family's 1533-position model. Lineage: Bacteria; Pseudomonadati; Pseudomonadota; Gammaproteobacteria; Enterobacterales; Thorselliaceae. The record is from RNAcentral.
UGCGUAGACGGUUACAUAAGUCUGGUGUGAAAUCCCCGCGCUUAACGUGGGCAUUGCAUUUGAAACUAUGUAGCUAGAGUUCUGUAGAGGGGGGUAGAAUUCCAGGUGUAGCGGUGAAAUGCGUAGAGAUCUGGAGGAAUACCGAUUGCGAAGGCAGCCCCCUGGACAGUGACUGACGCUCAUAUGCGAAAGCGUGGGGAUCAAACAGGAUUAGAUACCCUUGUA